UCCUAGCCACGAUUGCAGCAAUUGUUUGAGCUCAUUUUGUAUGGUUUUGGUUGCGGUGGCGAAGCCGCCGCAACCAAAACCAUACAAAAUAGCGAGUGCGGAAAGCGUGAAUAAGC
Molecule: unclassified non-coding RNA, 116 nt
Filed under: Chryseobacterium takakiae
Lineage: Bacteria; Pseudomonadati; Bacteroidota; Flavobacteriia; Flavobacteriales; Weeksellaceae
Description: Flavo-1 RNA
Source: RNAcentral